CCUACGGGAGGCAGCAGUGGGGAAUAUUGGACAAUGGGCGAAAGCCUGAUCCAGCAAUGCCGCGUGAGUGAUGAAGGCCUUAGGGUUGUAAAGCUCUUUUACCAGGGAUGAUAAUGACAGUACCUGGAGAAUAAGCUCCGGCUAACUCCGUGCCAGCAGCCGCGGUAAUACGGAGGGAGCUAGCGUUGUUCGGAAUUACUGGGCGUAAAGCGUGCGUAGGCGGUGAUUCAAGUCAGAGGUGAAAGCCUGGAGCUCAACUCCAGAACGGCCUUUGAAACUAGAUCGCUAGAAUUAUGGAGAGGUAAGUGGAAUUCCGAGUGUAGAGGUGAAAUUCGUAGAUAUUCGGAAGAACACCAGUGGCGAAGGCGACUUACUGGACAUAUAUUGACGCUGAGGUACGAAAGCGUGGGGAGCAAACAGGAUUAGAUACCCUGGUAGUCCACGACGUAACGAUANAUAACUAGACUGUCGGUCGUCUCAGAGACUGUAGUGGUCGGCGACGCUAACGACAUUAAGUUAGUUACCGUCCGUCGGGUAGGUACGGUCGGCGAGUAAGUAAACGUUAACUUAAAUUAGUAAGUUAGUUACGGCGUUGAGACGNGCGACGGACGACGACGAGGGAGGAGG
This 627-nucleotide ribosomal RNA is filed under the name uncultured bacterium. RNAcentral's name for it is "bacterial SSU rRNA". The stretch from base 1 to 525 matches the Rfam family "Bacterial small subunit ribosomal RNA", at positions 338 to 873 of the family's 1533-position model. The record is from RNAcentral.